Long non-coding RNA from Apis dorsata (giant honeybee), 1505 nucleotides. RefSeq lists it as uncharacterized. The transcript has 2 exons. The record is from RefSeq and is a predicted model, not a curated record. NCBI's taxonomy places the organism in Eukaryota, Metazoa, Arthropoda, Insecta, Hymenoptera, Apidae.
AAAAUAGGGAUAGAUAAAUAUUUGUACAGGAAGGAAGGAAUAGAAAAAAAAAGAAAAAAAACUGUGAAUUCUUGGAAGAAUUGUACAACACGCUUCUUUGAUAAAAAAAGGAAACGAAAAAUGUGAGAAAAUUACUAAAGUACACGUGUGUUUGUGUCUACGUGUAAGAAUCUGUCUGUAAAAUGAUUCGAAUAAAUAGGUGUAACAAUAUUAAUUGCACUAAUCAACUAAAAAAACUCCCUUUCUUUCUUGUGCUCAUUCGUGCUCGUUUAAACUCGAUAUUUACAGCUAAGUUUGUAAGUGUACAAUGUAAAUAAAAGAAGAAACGUGCGAAUACACGGUAAGGAUGAAUUCAAAGAAGCGUAUUUGGAUGAAAAUUGUGUUCGAAUUGUGAAGAGUGUUCCUUCCUAUGUACGAGUUAAUAGGAAACUUGUUUCGUUCCAUGGAAAAAAGAAAGAAAGAAAGAAAAAACAAAAAAUGAUUUAGAACGAAAAAUGAAGAAAAAAAUGGUUGAUAAAUAGCACGUAUGCAAAGUACACAAUUACGUUGCCUUCAUGCAAAUGAAAUCGAUCUAUUUCUAUAAGUUCAUAAAUAAAUUAAAUAUUCUAAUAUAUAUAUAUAUUCUUCAAUUCUGUGAAUUUCUUCAUAAAUCAUUGUCGAUUGUCUUCUCGAGGAUUAUCGAAUACAAUUAUUUUUAAGAUGUGAAAUACGAAAAUAAAAAUAAAUAUAGAAAUUAACGCGCAAAUUGAGUAGGUUUUCACCCUUAACAUAAAAAUAUAUUUCUUGUUGGUAUUAAGAUUCUGUGAAAAAAAAAAUGUAAAAUUUAAGAAAUGUUUAAACAAAAAAGUUUCUUUAUCUUUAACUUUUUCUAAAAACGACCAACUUUUUUUUAAUUUUAUUUUACAUUUCAUAAAUUUUUCAGCAAUUUUUAUCAAUAGAAUGAUUUUAUAAAACAAUCUUUAAAUUAUAAAAAAAAAAUAAAAAUUGUUUAUAAAUUCAAAAAAAAACGUUCGAUCAAGAAAUAUUUAUAUGCUUUCUCUUGUAAACACAAUUUCAAAACUACAAUAAAAAUUACGUUGAAUAAAUAUUUCUUCGUUACUCAAAACUCAUCGAUCGGCUACAAAAUGAUUAUACAAAACUAAAAAGAAAAAAAAUAAAUAAAUAAAUUUAUCUCUCAAGAGGUCGAACAAAAUCACAACGAUUUAACUUAUGAAAAAGAAGAAAAGAAAAAGUUGAAAAGAGAAAGAAAUCUUGGCAUAGAAAUUCGGCCACUUUUCUAUGAAAACAAAAAUAGGCGGGAAAAGAAUGGUGAUAAUAUAUAAAUAACGAUAUAAUAAUAAAGAUGGCAGAGAACACGAUGAAAAGAGACUCGGUGGCAUCGCGAGACGCUUUUGAAAAUAUGUGCCGUCGCUACUUCUUUCAUCGUCGUGCGAGUAUAAUCGCGGAUAUCUCGCGACACGAGGAGAGAACUCGACAGUUCGUCGUGCCUCUUCCCGUUCGGCCGC